Molecule: non-coding RNA, 399 nt
Organism: Haplochromis burtoni (Burton's mouthbrooder)
Lineage: Eukaryota; Metazoa; Chordata; Actinopteri; Cichliformes; Cichlidae
Source: the annotation of a RefSeq genome assembly
AUGACUGUUAUUGGAUGCGGUCUGCUCAGCCUGUUGGUAUUUGUGCUCUGGAUUAAAGGUGGUACUGAUGGAAGCGGUGUCCAACAGACUCCCAUACUGGGGGAAAGGAUGGGUGGAAGUGCAACAAUGUACUGUAACCACACAAAGGGUGAUGUCUAUUUCCAGAUGUGCUGGUAUAGACAGCUACCAGGACAAACUCUGGAACUAAUUGUGUUCAUAAGUAUAGCCAAAAAUGGUGAUGACUAUGACUAUGGAAAUUUAAGCACAGAGAAAUUUUCGGCCAGCAAGUCAGUUCCUGGGAGUGGGACAUUGACAGUGAAGAACCUGGAGCCAAAAGACAGAGGCUUGUAUUUCUGUGUCGUGAGCAAGCACAGUGAUACAGACACAGCAGAGAGCUGA